CCCUUAGAUGUUCUGGGCCGCACGCGCGCUACACUGACGAAUGCAACGAGCUUAUAACCUUGGCCGAAAGGUCUGGGUAAUCUCCAAAUUUCGUCGUGAUGGGGAUAGAUUAUUGCAAUUAUUAAUCUUCAACGAGGAAUGCCUAGUAAGCGCAAGUCAUCAGUUUGCGUUGAUUACGUCCCUGCCCUUUGUACACACCGCCCGUCGCUCCUACCGAUUGAAUGGUCCGGUGAAGCGUUCGGACCGUGGCCUUUGGACGGUUCGCCGUCUGUUGGCUGCGGGAAGUUCGUUAAACCUUAUCAUUUAGAGGAAGGAGAAGUCGUANCA
This 327-nucleotide ribosomal RNA is filed under the name uncultured eukaryote. RNAcentral describes it as "partial 18S ribosomal RNA". It matches the Rfam family "Eukaryotic small subunit ribosomal RNA", at positions 1470 to 1796 of the family's 1831-position model. The record is from RNAcentral.